UGUGGGUGGCGAGUGGCGGACGGGUGAGGAAUGCAUCGGAAUCUGCCUAUUUGUGGGGGAUAACGUAGGGAAACUUACGCUAAUACCGCAUACGUCCUACGGGAGAAAGUGGGGGACCUUCGGGCCUCACGCAGAUAGAUGAGCCGAUGCCGGAUUAGCUAGUUGGCGGGGUAAAGGCCCACCAAGGCGACGAUCCGUAGCUGGUCUGAGAGGAUGAUCAGCCACACUGGAACUGAGACACGGUCCAGACUCCUACGGGAGGCAGCAGUGGGGAAUAUUGGACAAUGGGCGCAAGCCUGAUCCAGCCAUGCCGCGUGUGUGAAGAAGGCCUUCGGGUUGUAAAGCACUUUUGUCCGGAAAGAAAAGCUUCGGGUUAAUAACCCGGAGUUAUGACGGUACCGGAAGAAUAAGCACCGGCUAACUUCGUGCCAGCAGCCGCGGUAAUACGAAGGGUGCAAGCGUUACUCGGAAUUACUGGGCGUAAAGCGUGCGUAGGUGGUUUGUUAAGUCUGAUGUGAAAGCCCUGGGCUCAACCUGGGAACUGCAUUGGAAACUGGCUGACUAGAGUGCG
RNAcentral lists this ribosomal RNA (571 nucleotides) under bacterium SA023. RNAcentral describes it as "bacterial SSU rRNA". It matches the Rfam family "Bacterial small subunit ribosomal RNA", at positions 83 to 650 of the family's 1533-position model. The record is from RNAcentral.